ACCAGAUUAGCUCACUUGGUUAAGGCACUGCAUUGUGGAGCAGUAGUGACCAUCACAACCUGGGUUCGAUCCCCAGUUGUGCUA
Gymnothorax javanicus (giant moray) is the source of this 84-nucleotide non-coding RNA. The record is from the annotation of a GenBank genome assembly. NCBI's taxonomy places the organism in Eukaryota, Metazoa, Chordata, Actinopteri, Anguilliformes, Muraenidae.